GGCAGUCCCGGGUCCCCACCUUAUCUGCUGAGUCACAUCCCAAUGCCAAGGCUCAAAUAGUUAUCUUGAGUGAGGAUAUAGAAAAAUACAAUUUUUGCAUUUUUGUUUUUUUUUUGGAAUGCUGAAAAUACCUAGAAGAAAGGACAUCUCAGUCUCCCUGAAGAUUCCAGCAUGAGAAAGAGGUUUAUGAAUAUCAUCUCCCACCAAGAAGAACCAGGGACCUUGGAGAAAUGGUCCAGAGGAAUCCUUAUGGCUCAAGGGGCAAUCAGUCCCCAUGAGAUGACGUUCCUUACUCGGCAGGGACACUGCCUUUAUUUUCAUCAUGGGAAGAUCACAAGAAGGCG
RNAcentral lists this long non-coding RNA (344 nucleotides) under Heterocephalus glaber (naked mole-rat). Its description in RNAcentral is "lncRNA (ENSHGLG00100052486.1)". The record is from RNAcentral. Lineage: Eukaryota; Metazoa; Chordata; Mammalia; Rodentia; Bathyergidae.